CAUGCAAGUCGAACGCGAAAAGGGGGGCAACCCCCUUAGUAGAGUGGCGAACGGGUGAGUAAUACAUCGGAACGUACCCAGUAGCGGGGGAUAACCUCUCGAAAGAGAGGCUAAUACCGCAUACGACCUACGGGUGAAAGAGGGGGAUCGCAAGACCUCUCACUAUUGGAGCGGCCGAUGUCGGAUUAGCUAGUUGGCGGGGUAAAAGCCCACCAAGGCGACGAUCCGUAGCUGGUCUGAGAGGACGACCAGCCACACUGGAACUGAGACACGGUCCAGACUCCUACGGGAGGCAGCAGUGGGGAAUUUUGGACAAUGGGCGCAAGCCUGAUCCAGCCAUGCCGCGUGAGUGAAGAAGGCCUUCGGGUUGUAAAGCUCUUUCGGCGGAGACGAAAAGGUCCGUGUUAAUACCUCGGAUCCAUGACGGUACCCGCAGAAGAAGCACCGGCUAACUACGUGCCAGCAGCCGCGGUAAUACGUAGGGUGCAGGCGUUAAUCGGAAUUACUGGGCGUAAAGCGUGCGCAGGCGGUCUUUUAAGUCAGAUGUGAAAUCCCCGGGCUUAACCUGGGAACUGCGUUUGAAACUGAAAGGCUAGAGUGUGGCAGAGGGGGGUGGAAUUCCACGUGUAGCAGUGAAAUGCGUAGAGAUGUGGAGGAACACCGAUGGCGAAGGCAGCCCCCUGGGCUAACACUGACGCUCAUGCACGAAAGCGUGGGGAGCAAACAGGAUUAGAUACCCUGGUAGUCCACGCCCUAAACUAUGUCAACUGGUUGUCGGGGAAGCAAUUCCUUGGUAACGAAGCUAACGCGUGAAGU
RNAcentral lists this ribosomal RNA (816 nucleotides) under uncultured beta proteobacterium. Its description in RNAcentral is "bacterial SSU rRNA". It matches the Rfam family "Bacterial small subunit ribosomal RNA", at positions 54 to 865 of the family's 1533-position model. The record is from RNAcentral. Lineage: Bacteria; Pseudomonadati; Pseudomonadota; Betaproteobacteria.